Molecule: ribosomal RNA, 466 nt
Filed under: uncultured bacterium
Lineage: Bacteria
Description: partial 16S ribosomal RNA
Rfam family: Bacterial small subunit ribosomal RNA
Source: RNAcentral
GACGAACGCUGGCGGCGCGCCUAACACAUGCAAGUCGAACGAGCGAGAGAGAGCUUGCUUUCUCGAGCGAGUGGCGAACGGGUGAGUAACGCGUGAGGAACCUGCCUCAAAGAGGGGGACAACAGUUGGAAACGACUGCUAAUACCGCAUAAGCCCACGGGUCGGCAUCGACCAGAGGGAAAAGGAGCAAUCCGCCUUGAGAUGGCCUCGCGUCCGAUUAGCUAGUUGGUGAGGUAAUGGCCCACCAAGGCGACGAUCGGUAGCCGGACUGAGAGGUUGAACGGCCACAUUGGGACUGAGACACGGCCCAGACUCCUACGGGAGGCAGCAGUGGGGAAUAUUGCACAAUGGGGGAAACCCUGAUGCAGCGACGCCGCGUGGAGGAAGAAGGUCUUCGGAUUGUAAACUCCUGUUGUUGGGGAAGAUAAUGACGGUACCCAACAAGGAAGUGACGGCUAACUACGUG